RNAcentral lists this ribosomal RNA (492 nucleotides) under uncultured bacterium. RNAcentral's name for it is "partial 16S ribosomal RNA". It matches the Rfam family "Bacterial small subunit ribosomal RNA", at positions 29 to 507 of the family's 1533-position model. The record is from RNAcentral.
AGUGAACGCUGGCGGUAGGCCUAACACAUGCAAGUCGAACGGCAGCACAGUAAGAGCUUGCUCUUACGGGUGGCGAGUGGCGGACGGGUGAGGAAUACAUCGGAAUCUACUUUUUCGUGGGGGAUAACGUAGGGAAACUUACGCUAAUACCGCAUACGACCUACGGGUGAAAGCAGGGGAUCUUCGGACCUUGCGCGAUUGAAUGAGCCGAUGUCGGAUUAGCUAGUUGGCGGGGUAAAGGCCCACCAAGGCGACGAUCCGUAGCUGGUCUGAGAGGAUGAUCAGCCACACUGGAACGGAGACACGGUCCAGACGCCUACGGGAGGCAGCAGUGGGGAAUAUUGGACAAUGGGCGCAAGCCUGAUCCAGCCAUACCGCGUGGGUGAAGAAGGCCUUCGGGUUGUAAAGCCCUUUUGUUGGGAAAGAAAAGCAGCAGGUUAAUACCACGCUGUUCUGACGGUACCCAAAGAAUAAGCACCGGCUAACUUCGUG